UACGAAGGUCCCAAGCGUUAUCCGGAUUUAUUGGGUUUAAAGGGCGCGUAGGCGGGUUAUUAAGUCAGUGGUGAAAGCCUUCAGCUUAACUGAAGAAUUGCCAUUGAUACUGAUGAUCUUGAGUAUGAUUGAGGUGGGCGGAAUGUGUCAUGUAGCGGUGAAAUGCUUAGAUAUGACACAGAACACCGAUUGCGAAGGCAGCUCACUAAGUCAUAACUGACGCUGAUGCACGAAAGCGUGGGGAGCAAACAGG
RNAcentral lists this ribosomal RNA (253 nucleotides) under uncultured bacterium. Its description in RNAcentral is "partial 16S ribosomal RNA". It matches the Rfam family "Bacterial small subunit ribosomal RNA", at positions 524 to 776 of the family's 1533-position model. The record is from RNAcentral.